Hypanus sabinus (Atlantic stingray) is the source of this 409-nucleotide long non-coding RNA. RefSeq lists it as uncharacterized. Lineage: Eukaryota; Metazoa; Chordata; Chondrichthyes; Myliobatiformes; Dasyatidae. The record is from RefSeq and is a predicted model, not a curated record. The transcript is spliced from 3 exons.
AAAGUACAUAUGAAUGAUUAUGGUUCUGUUGACAUCCAUGAAGAAGUAACUGCAGUUGCAUGUGGUUGAGACUGACGUUGCUCAAUAAUCCUUCACAGCAAGCCACAAGCACGGCAAAUUUCUUUCAGAAGAGCUCAUGUUGCAGGACAAUCAUUUUCAGCUGGGGAAAAGAAAAAGGAGCCGACUGAGAAAGAAAUGGGCAGACAACAUUGCAGAGUCGAUCAGAGGGAGCAAUGCUCCAACCCAGGCACUCACCCACAACCGUGAGGGAUGGAGGCAACUGGUGCAGUGCUCAUCCAUACAGCACCACUACGACCCAGGAAGAUGCUGCUCGACCUGCUGAUUUCCUUCAGCAAAUUGUUUGUCACUCCAGGUUCUAGCUUCUGCAGUCCCUGUGUCUCCAAACCAG